This 505-nucleotide ribosomal RNA is filed under the name uncultured bacterium. Its description in RNAcentral is "bacterial SSU rRNA". It matches the Rfam family "Bacterial small subunit ribosomal RNA", at positions 264 to 760 of the family's 1533-position model. The record is from RNAcentral.
CCCAUCAAGGCGAUGAUGCAUAGCGACCUGAGAGGUGAUCGGCCCACACUGGGACUGAGACCGGCCCAUGACUCCUACGGGAGUCAGCAGUAGGGAAUCUUGCACAAUGGACGAAAGUCUUGAUGGAGCACACGCCGCGUGAGUGAUGAAGGUUUUCGGAUCGUAGCACUCUGUUGUAAGGGAAGAACACGUACGAGAGGUAAUGCUCGUACCUAGACGGUACCUUACGAGUAAGCCUCGGCUAACUACGUGCCAACAGCCCCGGUAAUACGUAGGUGGCAAGCGUUGUCCGGAAUUAUUGGGCGUAAAGCGCGCGCAGGCGGCCUAUUAAGUCUGAUGUGAAAGCCCCCGGCUCAACCGGGGAGGGCCAUUGGAAACUGGAAGGCUUGAGUACAGAAGAGAAGAGUGGAAUUCCACGUGUAGCGGUGAAAUGCGUAGAGAUGUGGAGGACUACCAGUGGUGAAGGCGACUCUUUGGUAUGUUACUGACGCUGGGGCGCGCAAGC